Molecule: non-coding RNA, 31 nt
Filed under: Homo sapiens (human)
Lineage: Eukaryota; Metazoa; Chordata; Mammalia; Primates; Hominidae
Source: RNAcentral
UUCCAAUGGUCUGCUCACUGGAUGUGCAAUC